Molecule: long non-coding RNA, 237 nt
Organism: Eurytemora carolleeae
Lineage: Eukaryota; Metazoa; Arthropoda; Copepoda; Calanoida; Temoridae
Exons: 3
Source: RefSeq, a predicted model, not a curated record
UUAUUUGAGCAGAGCAAACUUUACAAUCAAAACUUUUUAUUUCUAAUUCAGGUUGUUUCUGUGAACGGUAUUUUUUAUCCAUCGAACUUUAAUCCAAUCAAGGAUAGUACUGGAGGAAACAUUGCCCUGUGGAAACUGUCUGAAUCAGUUGAUACAAAUGUAUAUAAUCCUCUCUGCCUUCCUACACAGGAUUCUACACAAACAGGCACAGUCACACUUGUAGGCUGGAGAAUAUCU